GUCAGUCAUUCCUGCAUGGGUGCAGAGGUCCUAUGAGUUAUGAGGAGAAAGGUUGUUACGGACAGUGGUGCAAAGUACACGUAGCAUCGGGAAGGCCUGCUCUCCCUCCCCCUGCCUGAGUCUCCUAUUGCCAAAGUAUUCCAAAGAGAAGCAUUACGUAUCUAAGAAGAGAAAAGAGGUGAAGCAUUGCGGAGGAUGGAGCGUGAACACAGGAGCACCCUGUGGGAAGAGUAGGGAAGCUGAAAUGAUCUCCUGCCAUUUCAGCAGAUAGAGGAAUGUGGCCGGAGGUGAAAAUGGGCAGGAGGACUCGGGAGGCUCUCUCGUGGCAGCAGAGCCGGCAUGCUCGUGUUGGCCAUUUCUCAGCUGGGGAAUGUGCCACGGAGAGGUUCCCUUUAGCAAGAGAGGCAGAGGCUCCCUUUCUCAGGUCUUUCAGGGUGCUGUCUGCCUUCCUCCGAAACGUUUACCCAGGAGGAUGGGCCAGGAGGAGCUCCGUCCGUGCUUCAUCCCCCUGCCCCCCCUCGACUCCCAGCCCAUGUCCGGUCAGGUGAGGCGCCCAGAGUACCUCGUGAGCAGCACCACCGCCUUGCUGACAGUGCCUGUGUGUCCCCCUAGCAACCCCCGACGAUGUUGUGGAGGCCGGUGGGAGUGAGAAGACCAAGGAGGAGGCCCUGGCUGGGGAAACUGAGGAGGAGAUGGGGCUGGGGACUGUGAAGGCAGAGGAGGAGGAGGAAAAGGAGGAAGCUGCAGCCAUAGACAAGGCGGAGGAGGAGGCGGGCCCGGCCCAUGAAAAUGACAAGGAGGAGUCGCCAGCCAGCGACCGGGCUGAGCAGGAAGACAAGCCUGCCCCCAAGGUGGACGGGACGGACGAUGAAAGCUUGUGGAGCAUUGUGAGUCUGUGUGGCAGCAACCACGAAGAAAGUGAUACAGGUAAGAAUAGCUCUCAGGUAGGGGCCAGUGGGAGAGGGUUCGCGGGACACUUGGGUUAUGCCUGCUGCUUGGAGGGUGGGGCGGGUGAGUCUGCAAUUGAAAAACAGAAAGAAAUUGGUGUAAAGAUGUUCGUCGCCUAUUUUCCUAA
RNAcentral lists this long non-coding RNA (1075 nucleotides) under Sus scrofa (pig). Its description in RNAcentral is "lncRNA (ENSSSCG00055015849.1)". Lineage: Eukaryota; Metazoa; Chordata; Mammalia; Artiodactyla; Suidae. The record is from RNAcentral.